This is a long non-coding RNA of Cyanistes caeruleus (blue tit), 364 nucleotides long. RefSeq lists it as uncharacterized. The record is from RefSeq and is a predicted model, not a curated record. NCBI's taxonomy places the organism in Eukaryota, Metazoa, Chordata, Aves, Passeriformes, Paridae.
CAGGGACACUUGGGACACUUUGUCCUUUGGACACUUUGUCCUUUACACACCACGGGAGUCUGGGAGCUGCCCCAUCUGCGAAGGAAGGAGGAACUGAAUUCCAAAGCUGUGGAGAGCAGCACAGGGCACUUUGGGAGAGGACAUGAAAGGAGAGCACAAGGCACAGGGACACACAUGGGGCCCAGACUUAAAAGCUUUCCAGACAGAGAAGACAUCAUCAAGCUCUGCCGGCAGGGAAGUGGCUGGGAUUUGGAUCGCUUCCCCCAGACUGAAAGAAACACUUCUCGUUUUUUUUCCCCCCCCUUCCUCCAAAGAGCCUAAAUUUAGUGAAUUCCUUUCACAUUAAAAACUUGUCAGGUAUUCA